UGUCACUUGCCUGGAUGCAAUCCACCACUUCUGGCUGAGCUCCAGGCUCAGACCCGGUGCUUGGAGAUCCUGGAGCACCGCUGGCCAAGGACACAGACAAAGCUGAGGGGCCAUCCAAAGAGCUCGCUGCCUCAUCUAGGAGCAGAAAUAAGAUGCAGACGCACAUCCACACCAUGAGAGACUUCAUACUGGACUCAGCGGCGGGAGAGAUGGGUUGUGGUCCAAUUAGACUAAUAAUUCCACCUUUUGAAAGGUUAGUUCCCUUCUUCGGAUCCGUAACCCAGGCGUAGUCUAACUGUUAAAAAAAAAAAUCAAUAUUCUCAUCCAACUCCCAAAUAAACACGCACCCUUUGAGCAAAAAAAAAAAAGAAAAAAAGAAAAAAAAUCCUCGACUCCCAAUAAGAUAAUAAUCCACAAAUUUUUGGCAACAAUAGCCUAACCCCGACACAGAAAAAUUCCCUGAAGUGAAUAAAAAGAAAAAAAAAAAGACAAAAUGGCAAUCAAGAAACCAAUCAGUCAGUCAAUCCAUGAAAGCAGUUUCUCGUUGUCCGUCUGCGCUGCGUACAUACCGACAAACUACUGAGACUUGAUCUCUCCGCAUUAUAAGGGACUCAGUCUGCCCACUCCAAUUGAUCCUUGGAGACAAAUUUGUCCCUAACAGUCCUCAAACUGCUGUGAAAUGAUGUGCCAGUAUCUCUGAAGAACUCAGCUGAAAAGUGCUGUUAAACGCUGGCAGGAUUUUUUUUCCCCCCCUCACCACUGGCUCUCUCAAAAAGCUUUGCGCUCCUCUGGAGGGAGUGAACGCUCCUUUUUCACUGACUGCAUGCGUGUCGAGGCAUCGCAGCAGUUUAUAAAGAGGGGCUUCUGUGCGUCGAAAGAGGGCGCUGCAGAUGGGCGCUCUCAUUGGAAACCCUGGCACACAUAAUAAAUGUUACCCCACAGAACAAUCGCCUGAACAUUCUUCUAAUUUUCCUGCUGGGAGAAGAUGCACCUGUGGUCUUCAGCAUAUGAAACUACAGUGACCCCACCUGGCCUGUGUGGCUUUUUUUCUUUUUUUUUUUUUGGCUUUUUUUAUUAUAUUAUAUUUCCUGUGGUACUGCCAUAGGAUGUUGUGUGAAAGCCUAUAUGCAUCCUUAUAUGAUUGUUACACUUUUCAUAGGAGAGCUUUUACAGUUCUGUUUAGUAAUAAUCUGUAGAAGAGUGAAGGCUACAACUGCAACAUGUCAAAGAGGGAAUUCUGACGAAAUAAUAAGUGUAUUGGCAACUUGCGCUUAUAGCAAGAUUGUCCAGUCAGCUAACACAUAGUGAAUCUUUUAUUCAAGAACUCUGCAAGGUCACUUGGCCAAUUCAUUUCUGGCUGACAUCAGGGGUUCAUUCCCACAACCCAUAGAAUUCUGCAAAUGAUUCUCAGGCAUAGGGUUCAAAGGUGGGUUCGACAAUAGUCAUGAAAAUGCCACCAUUUAUUUCAGCAAUAAACCAACACUUCACAGAACAUCCGCGCUUCCUCUGAUUGAAAGAAAGAUAUUAAAAAAGAAAAAAAAAUGAGCACAAUGUCUCAUUAUAUUUUCACUCAAAGGAAAUAGCAAAGCCCACAAACCGCAGAAUCUGCCAUUUUUCAAAGUGGCUUCACAUUAAACAAAAUGACUAGGUUGUGCAUCGCUGCUUAAAUGGUGCCUAGAAUGUCAUAAAUCUCUACAAAUCUCGAAAACAAAGUCUCUAUUUAGCGGCUGUGACAGUGACAAAUGGCAGGGCCACUCGCUCGUAAUGAUGUUUGACUGUCAGUCCAACGUCCCUUCCAACAGGGAAAAGGGCUCGCUAUUACAGUGGAAACAUCAGCCCCAUUCUGCCUACAUUGGCCCAACCUUAUUCUCCGCUCUCGAGUUUGCAGUCGCUGUCAUUAUGACGCCAGCGUAAAGCGUCAUCAUGCAUCUGUCCUGGAUUAGCACUGACUGACAUUCCUCUCAUGCACAUUUGAAACUUUUGCUUUUCAAGCGUUUCUUCCAAACAUGAGACAAUUAUAUUCUUUUAUUUGAGCAGAGAACAGAGAGUUGUUCAAAUAUUUUUUCACUGAAGAUCAGUUGCAUAAACUCUAUAAAGUUUACAGUUGCCUGGGCGGUAGACUCAGAAGCAAAACGACAUUUCUAAUAAUGCAAGAAAAAAAAAAGCAUGAAAUCAAGGGAGUCAAUCAAAGAGAUAGUGUGCAAUAUGUAUAAGCCCUCGUCUCACUUCUUUUUUUUUCUUGUCAGGUCCAGGCUGGAUUUUAUUCUUGAUGACACUGCAGGAUUCACCCCCUCUCUGUGCUUAUUUAAUUGCUCCAUUCUGACUUCAUAAAGCAUCUGCAGUUUUUUCACGUGUAGAAUUAGCCCACAGAGAAACACACACACACACACACACACACACACACACACACACACACGUGCAUGGUACCACAUCUGUACACUCUUUCAUAAAUACCCAUAUGCUUAUGUGCACAGUCCAUGCAGAGAGAUGCACGUAAUGUAUAUGUCAGAUAAGCGUGCUCCCAUAAGAUUGAGACCGUGAAGAUUGGGAAUGACAAAUCUGGAUAUAGAAGACACUCUUCUCACUGCUGAGGGAAAUCACUGGAUGCCUUUCACAAGUGUGUCUAAUAUGGUGAAUAUAGAUGGAAUCAUCGUGAGUUCAUGGGAUAUGAAAUGAUGAUACAUUAAACAAUCAUAUUUAAGACUCUGUGCAGUAACUUGUGUAGUGAGACGGCAUGGGGUUUGAAAUGCUCACUCUAAAAUGAGACAGUCCACACUGUCAUUUUGAAAUACUUCCAUACAAAUGUGCAUGUGAUUUUAUUUGUUUCAGUCUGUGCAUGUUUCACUGAUGCCUGUGGCCAGAGCAUUUGGCAUUUGUCAUUUAAAUUCCACUUAGCCGAAACCAAGAAAUGUAACCUUUGAUGUGUUAAUUAUCUAGAAUAACACCUUGACUGAGCCAUCGAUCCUCAUCAUCCAUUGAUUCUUUAGAUUUGGGCAACGCUGAUAAUACCAUGAAGCGUAGCAUGAGAUCUAUGUGAGGGCAAAGGUUACUGCAUCUUUUUCUGCUGGUAAAGCCCAUUGGAGAGAGCACUGAUGAACCCAAGAUUCAGACCAUACAUUAUAAGCACACACACACACACACACAUACCCGCAAGCACUCACAGACACACAUGCAAGCACUCACAGAGGUGAAGCAUGGCUGAUUAGAUUAGGAAUUAUAGGCUAAUUAAUGUGUAUCUUGGGAGACUAGCAUGCUUAUUAGAAAACACAGCCAGAGUUGAACAGAGAACAUGACAAGAACAUAAGCGUUCAUAAUCCCCGGCCUUAAAUUCAUUUAAACAGUACAUUAUAGCUCUACUCCUUCCUAUUUUAUCAGUGUAAUAUGAAGCCAAAUGUGAAACCGCCGUCUGAUAAGGUUGGGACUUGAUUUUGAAAAAUAUCUUUAAAAUGUUCCCACUAAAAUGCUUGACUAAAAGCCGAUAUUGAAAUAUUAAAAAAAAAGGGAAAAUAUUUCAAUAUUCUUCAAGCUUCCGCACAGAGUGUCUGUAUCAGGCACAGAGCCCAAAGUCAGUUCAAAUCAGUCCUUUCAAAUCAAUGUGAGAAGGAAAAUAGCCAAUACAAUAAAUCAAUUGCGGAGAUGGUGGAGUGACAAAUGCAGCUUUAGGCUACUUCACAUUAUAUGUAGGUCCUGUGUGUUACAGUCUCCCUGUUUUCUGUCCAGCUCACAGUUGACUAGAGUGGGACGGUUUACCACAUCGAAACAACAAGCGGCUGUUGUUCAAACGUCAGGUCCCAAAUGUCAGCGUUUGUGUAUACGACAGCUUAGUUUUGGGUUGGUUUGAGCGGACAGAACGACGUUUCUGAUGUGACCUCCGCUAGACUCUCUGGAGGCUAUCGACCAGUUAGAUCCAUUUGUUUUCCAGGCAUUUCAGACGUUGUCCAUUUCUAUCACAUUACUGUGACAUAAAUUGAAUUUUCUCUGAUGCAUUUUUAUGUAUCCUAAGUGCUGUUCUGUUCUCCCUGGGAGUAUAGCGUUUCCAGUGGUGUGAUGAGGCAAAAACACUUUGUGUUUUAACAGAAAAAAGGGAAACAUAUUUUAUUUAAAUGUGUGUAUUGAUUUUAAUGUAUUUUUCCCACUGACAAUAUUAGUCCUUCCAAGUAAGUAGCCUUAUUAGCUGUUUGGUACCUAAAGGGGUAUUUAAAAUUCUUACAAGGGCACAUUAAAACACACAGAGGACAGUCUACAUCUGUGUGCUGAGGCUAUGCUGGGCUAGUUGUCUUGUUAUUGUCCAAGAGAUUGUCAUCUUUCUUAAUGUAAUGGCAGCAAACUGAGGACAUGCUCCUAUUUCUAUCAAGCAGG
This is a long non-coding RNA of Mugil cephalus (flathead mullet), 4359 nucleotides long. RefSeq lists it as uncharacterized. The transcript has 2 exons. The record is from RefSeq and is a predicted model, not a curated record. Lineage: Eukaryota; Metazoa; Chordata; Actinopteri; Mugiliformes; Mugilidae.